GCCACUGUGGAUGAGUGGUUAGAAUGUCAGACUGGGACCCAGAAGACCAGGGUUCAAAUCCCCACUGUGGCC
This is a non-coding RNA of Podarcis lilfordi (Lilford's wall lizard), 72 nucleotides long. NCBI's taxonomy places the organism in Eukaryota, Metazoa, Chordata, Lepidosauria, Squamata, Lacertidae. The record is from the annotation of a GenBank genome assembly.